This 491-nucleotide ribosomal RNA is filed under the name uncultured bacterium. Its description in RNAcentral is "partial 16S ribosomal RNA". It matches the Rfam family "Bacterial small subunit ribosomal RNA", at positions 29 to 506 of the family's 1533-position model. The record is from RNAcentral.
AGUGAACGCUGGCGGUAGGCCUAACACAUGCAAGUCGAACGGCAGCACAGUAAGAGCUUGCUCUUACGGGUGGCGAGUGGCGGACGGGUGAGGAAUACAUCGGAAUCUACUUUUUCGUGGGGGAUAACGUAGGGAAACUUACGCUAAUACCGCAUACGACCUACGGGUGAAAGCAGGGGAUCUUCGGACCUUGCGCGAUUGAAUGAGCCGAUGUCGGAUUAGCUAGUUGGCGGGGUAAAGGCCCACCAAGGCGACGAUCCGUAGCUGGUCUGAGAGGAUGGUCAGCCACACUGGAGCUGAGACACGGUCAAGACGCCUACGGGAGGCAGCAGUGGGGAAUAUUGGACAAUGGGCGCAAGCCUGAUCCAGCCAUACCGCGUGGGUGAAGAAGGCCUUCGGGUUGUAAAGCCCUUUUGUUGGGAAAGAAAAGCAGCAGGUUAAUACCCCGCUGUUCUGACGGUACCCAAAGAAUAAGCACCGGCUAACUUCGU